GAUGAACGCUGGCGGCGUGCUUAACACAUGCAAGUCGAACGAUGAAGCCCAGCUUGCUGGGUGGAUUAGUGGCGAACGGGUGAGUAACACGUGAGUAACCUGCCCUUAACUCUGGGAUAAGCCUGGGAAACUGGGUCUAAUACCGGAUAGGAGCGUCCACCGCAUGGUGGGUGUUGGAAAGAUUUAUCGGUUUUGGAUGGACUCGCGGCCUAUCAGCUUGUUGGUGAGGUAAUGGCUCACCAAGGCGACGACGGGUAGCCGGCCUGAGAGGGUGACCGGCCACACUGGGACUGAGAAACGGCCCAGACUCCUACGGGAGGCAGCAGUGGGGAAUAUUGCACAAUGGGCGCAAGCCUGAUGCAGCGACGCCGCGUGAGGGAUGACGGCCUUCGGGUUGUAAACCUCUUUCAGUAGGGAAGAAGCGAAAGUAACGGUACCUGCAGAAGAAGCACCGGCUAACUACGUG
RNAcentral lists this ribosomal RNA (466 nucleotides) under uncultured bacterium. RNAcentral describes it as "partial 16S ribosomal RNA". It matches the Rfam family "Bacterial small subunit ribosomal RNA", at positions 28 to 507 of the family's 1533-position model. The record is from RNAcentral.